Molecule: ribosomal RNA, 121 nt
Filed under: uncultured bacterium
Lineage: Bacteria
Description: partial 16S ribosomal RNA
Rfam family: Bacterial small subunit ribosomal RNA
Source: RNAcentral
GGCAGCAGUGGGGAAUAUUGCACAAUGGGGGAAACUCUGAUGCAGCGACGCCGCGUGGAGGAAGAAGGUCUUCGGAUUGUAAAUCUUGUUCUUCAGGAAGAUAAUGACGGUACUCAACUAG